AUUAUUUCUAUACAUUAAUACUAACUUGAAAAGACUUCUUUGUCAGGUUAAUCUAACAUCGAAACCAUUACUAUAAAUGUUGUUAUUUAAACAACUAGUCGGUAAUCUACGGCGUAUUAUCUAAUAUUAAUACUACCAUUAUGACUAGAAAAUCGGAGAGAAGUUAUCUUCUCUUAUAGCUCUUUCUGCUUUUAUAUAACAUUUCAGCGAAAUUUUUAAAAACGGAAAGUGAAUGUAAAAUCGUAAACAGCCUAACAGUUUAACCACUUUAACUCUCGAAAUUUUGUAAAAUGUACUUUUUAACAACCAGUAGCAAAAAUAUCUGUUCUGAAUACAGGGCCUGCCUUAGCGGUGGGGGGAGCUGGAGAUCGCCCAAGACCGCUAGUUAGCUGGGGUCGCCACAUAAAGCUGUAAAAGUCUCACAACCGAAAAUUACACUGGAAAUAAAGGGGAAAAUGAAUAAGUUUUUCUACAGAAAUGCAGCUGCAAUAAAAAAUUAUACAUAAUGCAACAGGUAAUCAACAGCUGUUUUUUAUCCAGGGCAUCGAGUAAUAUUCUAUCGGAUCCGUCCAUACAUCUUUCCGCAAUUUGAACUCAUCUUACAACUUUAUGACAUCAUCUUAUUCUAUAGCUAACUUAUAAAAAUAAAUGUGUAGUUAUUCUUACAACUAGAUUACUAGAACUUUGACCACAUAUUGAUUUACAGAACGACUCGGAUAUCAAGUUAAACAACAGAAUAACCAUAAUAACCAUUCGAUAUUUUGUGAAUUCUUUUCUUAUGUUCAGCUGAAUAAUCUUUUAUAUUUUAACAUGCUAUAUGGUUUUUUUAGUUACUAUAAUGAAACUUUGUAACUUUAAUGUUAAUAUUGUGGAUCCGACGGACGAUCACUACAGACAUAAGCUUACCGCAGUUGUGUGGUUAUCGCGUAGGUAAGCACGGCAAAAUGAGAGUCGUUCCGACACAAACAGAGACAACUACGGUUCGUAUAUAUCCUGGGAUCUUUUUUAGAGAGAGAGAUGGUUUUCCUAUAUUAUACCACAGGAGGACAAAUACCUUUUUAUUCAACAAGAGGAGUCGUUGUCUUUCUUUUUUU
This 1094-nucleotide long non-coding RNA is filed under the name Androctonus crassicauda. The record is from RNAcentral. Lineage: Eukaryota; Metazoa; Arthropoda; Arachnida; Scorpiones; Buthidae.